Molecule: ribosomal RNA, 1439 nt
Filed under: uncultured bacterium
Lineage: Bacteria
Description: bacterial SSU rRNA
Rfam family: Bacterial small subunit ribosomal RNA
Source: RNAcentral
AGAGUUUGAUCAUGGCUCAGAACGUACGCUGGCGGCACGCCUAACACAUGCAAGUCGAACGAAGUAGCAAUACUUAGUGGCAGACGGGUGAGUAACAUGUAGGUAUCUUCCCUUUGGCCUGGAAUAACACGAGGAAACUUGUGCUAAUACCGGAUAAGUCUUUACGGAGAAAGCUUUAUGCACCAUUGGAUGAGCCUGCACUUGAUUAGUUUGUUGGUGGGGUAAUGGCCUACCAAGACUUUGAUCAAUAGCUGAUUUGAGAGGAUGAUCAGCCACAUUGGGACUGAGACACGGCCCAAACUCCUACGGGAGGCAGCAGUGGGGAAUCUUGCACAAUGGAGGAAACUCUGAUGCAGCGAUGCCGCGUGAGUGAAGAAGGCCUUUGGGUUGUAAAGCUCUUUCGUCGGGGAAGAAAAUGACUGUACCCGAAUAAGAAGGUCCGGCUAACUUCGUGCCAGCAGCCGCGGUAAUACGAAGGGACCUAGCGUAGUUCGGAAUUACUGGGCCUAAAGAGUUCGUAGGUGGUUGAAAAAGUUGGUGGUGAAAUCCCAGAGCUUAACUCUGGAACUGCCAUCAAAACUUUUCAGCUAGAGUUUGAUAGAGGAAAGCAGAAUUUCUAGUGUAGAGGUGAAAUUCGUAGAUAUUAGAAAGAAUACCAAUUGCGAAGGCAGCUUUCUGGAUCAUUACUGACACUGAGGAACGAAAGCAUGGGUAGCGAAGAGGAUUAGAUACCCUCGUAGUCCAUGCCGUAAACGAUGUGUGUUAGACGUUGGAAAUUUAUUUUCAGUGUCGCAGCGAAAGCGAUAAACACACCGCCUGGGGAGUACGACCGCAAGGUUAAAACUCAAAUGAAUUGACGGGGACCCGCACAAGUAGUGGAGCAUGUGGUUUAAUUCGAAGAUACGCGCAGAACCUUACCAACACUUGACAUGUUCGUCGCGACUUUAAGAGAUUAAAGUUUUCGGUUCGGCCGGACGAAACACAGGUGCUGCAUGGCUGUCGUCAGCUCGUGUCGUGAGAUGUUGGGUUAAGUCCCGCAACGAGCGCAACCCUCACUUUUAGUUGCCAUCAUUUAGUUGGGCACUCUGAAAGAACUGCCAGUGAUAAGCUGGAGGAAGGUGGGGAUGACGUCAAGUCCUCAUGGCCCUUACGUGUUGGGCUACACACGUGCUACAAUGGUAUUUACAACAGGAAGCAAGACGGCGACGUUAAGCAAAUCCUUAAAAAAUACCUCAGUUCGGAUUGCACUCUGCAACUCGAGUGCAUGAAGCUGGAAUUACUAGUAAUCGUGGAUCAGCGUGCCACGGUGAAUGCGUUCCCGGGUCUUGUACACACCGCCCGUCACACCAUGGGAGUUGGUUCUACCUUAAGGCAAGGUUUAAUACCCUUGACCACGGUAUAGUCAGCGACUGGGGUGAAGUCGUAACAAGGUAACCGUA